This is a long non-coding RNA of Pistacia vera, 723 nucleotides long. RefSeq lists it as uncharacterized. The record is from RefSeq and is a predicted model, not a curated record. NCBI's taxonomy places the organism in Eukaryota, Viridiplantae, Streptophyta, Magnoliopsida, Sapindales, Anacardiaceae. The transcript has 3 exons.
CAGAAGCAAGAUUAUUAUGCUGAAGCGAGGAAGGCAGAAGCUUCACCAAUUUUAGUCGACCCAGAAAAAAAGUAGCAAACGGAGUUUCAGCAACAUCCAGUGGAUUAGCGUCAGAGGCGGAAGCAUUUGAAUCAGAUCCAAUUGACCCAGUGGAAAUGCGGAUACUGUUGCAUCUAAACUAAUAAGCUACGGGUGAGUGGUGGGUUUGGAGGCAUUGCAUUAAGGUGGAACCCACAUCCCAAGAAGUCCAAGAUGAAGAAAAUGGACUCGCUGGUGGUGAUGGUUUUGUUAAUACCGGGAGUGGGUGGAAACAUUUGAAGACCAAUUUGUCGAUCUUAGAAAAAGCCAAGAGAGAAAGCAUGAUGAAGAGGACUUUGAUUGUUUCUGGAUUUCUGGGUUUGUUUUCAGCUUUGUUUCUUUCUCGGUUUUGGCAGCCGAUAGAGAUUGUGGUUGGGCCAUUGAUUCUUUCUACCGUUACAAAGAGUUAAAUAUUAAAGAAUUUAUUUGCAGAAAACCAUUAUCGCUCUCCUGGAUGAAGCUUGGUACAGUUUGACUUCUUAAGUAUAAAUUGGUGCGUGACGCUUUAUAGAAUUGUUCCCAUGCAGUUUGUCCUCAUCCUGAUUUUCUUAUCUAAGCAGCAUGUUUCCAAAAUCAACACAUGAAACAUUUUCAACCAAGCUCUUUAAGAACUUUCGAGCCCACCCAAGGUUGGAGAAGGCUAAA